CAGACUGUAGGAGGAAGUCUCCGGAAGCCUGCAGAGGAAACAUCCUCUCUCUCCCCCAUUCGCUAUCGAAAGAGCAGGAAAACCAAUCUUCAGAGACACUGAAUGAAAGAAUUAUAAAACAGAGAAAAAAAAGACUCUGGGUCCAACUGGUCAACCAGACUGCUCAAAAUUCUUCUGCUCCCAUUUUAAGAUCCAACUUUCAAAUAGCACGUGUUGUACACCUCAUGUCUCAGGAUGAGUGAAGGGAUGCAUACUGGGACAGUGGAGAAUUCAAAAUGGCGAUUCCCCUACAUCCACACAAGCUAUUCACAUUU
This is a non-coding RNA of Chiloscyllium plagiosum (whitespotted bambooshark), 314 nucleotides long. The record is from RefSeq and is a predicted model, not a curated record. Lineage: Eukaryota; Metazoa; Chordata; Chondrichthyes; Orectolobiformes; Hemiscylliidae.